UCCACGCUCACCCUCGCAGAGCCCUCAGAUCUGAACGAGCUUCAACGGCUCCAAAUCCACUCUGAAACUCCACCUCUCUGCUAUUUACUCACUCAAACAUUAACGUCCCGCUCUUUUAAUUUUCUUCCAGCUGAAAACCACGAAAAACAAUUCCUCUCAGUUUGAUUUGUUUAGAGACCAAAUGCAAGAGCAAGCGACGAGCUCCCUUGCCGCGAGCUCUCUCCCGUCGAGCAGCGAAAGGUCUUCGAGCUCUGCAUUCCAAGUUGAAGUCAAAGAAGGCAUGGAAAGUGAUGAGGAGAUCAGGAGAGUGCCGGAGAUUGGCGGCGAAUCUGCCGGAGCGUCAAUCUCCGGUAGGGAAACCGGUUCGUUGGCCGGUCCGGACCGGGCCCAAGUGGUAGGUGAGGGGCAAAGAAAGAGAGGAAGAAGUCCAGCUGACAAGGAAAGCAAGAGGCUGAAGAGGUUAUUAAGGAACAGAGUUUCAGCACAGCAAGCAAGGGAGAGGAAGAAGGCAUACUUGAGUGAUUUGGAAGUGAGAGUGAAAGACUUGGAGCAGAAAAACUCUGAGCUUGAGGAGAAGCUUUCCACUUUGCAGAAUGAGAAUCAGAUGCUUAGACAUAUACUGAAGAACACAACGGCAAGCCGGAGAGGAGCAGGCAGUAAUGCAAAUGCAGAUGGAUCCUUAUAGGAAAGUGUGUGAGAUCAGAGUGUUCAUAAAGAGAAAUUGUGAGAGGAAAAGCAGAAGCAAUACGACUUUAGUAUUCCAACCAUACAUGGAAACAUCACAAGGGAGGGACCUAGGCAUACUUAAUCAUAGAUUAGCAUUUCUAGCAUUUCCUUUAAGUUAUGUUCACUAGUAGUUCAUUUGCAUGCCACUCCCGUGGUACUUUUCUGUAUGCAAUAUGGUGCAGAUCUUGUGUCAACUGUAGUAACAGCAGCGGGUGCAGGCAUGACUGGAAAAUUUACCAAAAAUGGGAAAAGCUCGUUCGUGUUGGUAGUGGCAAUGACAGUGGCACUAGCAUUUGUGAAAAUGGUGAGGCAGUGGUGAUUGCUAGUAGGGUUUAGGCUUGCCGUGGCGAUUGUGGUGUUACCAGUCUACUUAUUCUUUGCCGAAAUGUUCUAUAGGUUUAUAAGAGAUCAAAUUCCCAUCAUCAAUGCAAUGGGAAAAAUGGAAUAACAGUGUACUGUGUUCUUUUAAGACGGGUGGUUUUAGUUUAUGCAA
Prunus dulcis (almond) is the source of this 1219-nucleotide RNA transcript. It is a transcript of the gene named transcription factor HY5, with no coding region annotated. Lineage: Eukaryota; Viridiplantae; Streptophyta; Magnoliopsida; Rosales; Rosaceae. The record is from RefSeq and is a predicted model, not a curated record. The transcript has 5 exons.